UACGGGGGGGGCGAGCGUUGUUCGGAUUUACUGGGCGUAAAGGGCGCGUAGGCGGCGGGUCAAGUCGAGUGUGAAAGCCCCGGGCUCAACCUGGGAAUUGCGCUCGAGACUGGUCUGCUUGAGUUCGGGAGAGGAGAGUGGAAUUCCCAGUGUAGAGGUGAAAUUCGUAGAUAUUGGGAAGAACACCGGUGGCGAAGGCGGCUCUCUGGACCGAGACUGACGCUGAGGCGCGAAAGCGUGGGGAGCAAACAGG
RNAcentral lists this ribosomal RNA (253 nucleotides) under uncultured bacterium. RNAcentral's name for it is "partial 16S ribosomal RNA". It matches the Rfam family "Bacterial small subunit ribosomal RNA", at positions 524 to 776 of the family's 1533-position model. The record is from RNAcentral.